RNAcentral lists this ribosomal RNA (309 nucleotides) under uncultured bacterium. Its description in RNAcentral is "bacterial SSU rRNA". It matches the Rfam family "Bacterial small subunit ribosomal RNA", at positions 490 to 793 of the family's 1533-position model. The record is from RNAcentral.
GUCACGGCUAACUACGUGCCAGCAGCCGCGGUAAUACGUAGGUGGCAAGCGUUAUCCGGAUUUAUUGGGCGUAAAGAGAGUGCAGGCGGUUUUCUUAAGUCUGAUGUGAAAGACCUUCGGCUUAACCGGAGAAGUGCAUCGGAAACUAGGAUAACUUGAGUGCAGAAGAGGGUAGGUGGAACUCCCAUGUGUAGCGGUGGAAUGCGUAGAUAUAUGGAAGAACACCAGUGGCGAAGGCGGCUACCUGGUCUGCAACUGACGCUGAGACUCGAAAGCAUGGGUAGCGAACAGGAUUAGAUACCCUGGUAG